RNAcentral lists this ribosomal RNA (373 nucleotides) under uncultured organism. RNAcentral describes it as "partial 16S ribosomal RNA". It matches the Rfam family "Bacterial small subunit ribosomal RNA", at positions 527 to 896 of the family's 1533-position model. The record is from RNAcentral.
GUAGGUGGCAAGCGUUGUCCGGAAUUAUUGGGCGUAAAGCGCGCGCAGGUGGUUCUUUAAGUCUGAUGUGAAAGCCCCCGGCUCAACCGGGGAGGGUCAUUGGAAACUGGGGAACUUGAGUGCAGGAGAGGAAAGUGGAAUUCCACGUGUAGCGGUGAAAUGCGUAGAUAUGUGGAGGAACACCAGUGGCGAAGGCGACUUUCUGGCCUGUAACUGACACUGAGGCGCGAAAGCGUGGGGAGCGAACAGGGAUUAGAUACCCUGGUAGUCCACGCCGUAAACGAUGAGUGCUAAGUGUUGGGGGGGUUUCCCGCCCCUCAGUGCUGCAGCUAACGCAUUAAGCACUCCGCCUGGGGAUACGGUCGCAAGACUG